CAUUAGAUUUUGUGUGGUCCAAUUAGCUUUGCUCUUGUGCACCUAAACCGUGAUAGUAUGAACAGAUGAUGAAAACAGAAAGCAGAAUGUAUAGUAAUUGGUACGUAUGAUAUCGUCAUUGCAACCCCUAAACAGAAACAUGCCCUCUGGGCUAUCCGAGAAUGAAAUUAUCAUGAACUGACCAACACAUAACAACCAUACCACUAAACCCUAAUCACAUUGUACACAGAAGUAAUGUCCGAAACAAAAAUAAACAAAAAUAAACAGAAAUAUCUAUAGUACAAACAUAAACAAAAAUAUUUAAAGUAAGCUACUACACAUGCAGUUACCAGGUACGCAAGGUGUUGUUUAGAGCAGUAAGUAGUUCACAUGUACAAAACCUAAUUACUGUCAAAUAGAAGUAAACUACUUGACAUGUUGUAAGC
This 425-nucleotide long non-coding RNA is filed under the name Sorghum bicolor (sorghum). RNAcentral describes it as "long non-coding RNA (SBIC_LNC006136)". Lineage: Eukaryota; Viridiplantae; Streptophyta; Magnoliopsida; Poales; Poaceae. The record is from RNAcentral.